Drosophila virilis is the source of this 903-nucleotide non-coding RNA. Lineage: Eukaryota; Metazoa; Arthropoda; Insecta; Diptera; Drosophilidae. The record is from RefSeq and is a predicted model, not a curated record.
GUCCCAAAACACACAGAGGCGAACGCAAUGUCAAAGUCAAGUAUAUUUUUCGAUUUGAACAAAACUUGAAGCAAAGUUGAGGACAAAAAAUAUAAAAGCGAGAAAAAUGUCAACCGCCAAGCGCUAUAAUAAAGCUCAAAAUAAAAUCAAUUACGCUCGAUUAACUGAAAUAGUUACAUAAAUUACAAAUACCCAAGGCAGGACGAAGCACAGGACGGCGACUUGAAGCGGGACCAUGGCUAGCCGAAGCAGGGACGAUUGAAGCGCAAAAUCCACAAGAAGACGCGCAACAUUUUGCGGCAUAAUGACAAUUUCCAACGAGCCAUCCAAAUGAUACACAUUCACACAGCAAGCGAGACAACGCAAGUGAGUGAGAAGGAGAGAAAGAGGGAAAGAAAGAGUGAGAUGUGUCACUGAGAGUGGAGGCCGCGUAGAGAUAACUAUUAACAUUAUAUAACACGCAGACCGCAAUGAAGACGAAACCUUUGCUCUAAAAACAACAAGCAGGAGAGGGUGCGGCGGCGUGGAUGGUGGGAGAAUGCUCGGGAAAAUAAUAAAUAAUACCAUUUGAUGCUCAAAGCGAAGACAACGCAUUUAAAAUGGCCGCAUUUGCACGCUUGUACCAUAGCAUCUUCAACUCCGCAAACCCCGCCCCCGGCCACGCACCAAUCCACCCAAGUAAUCAAAGUGCCCCGCCUAAAUUACCCCCAAGCUUUGCGGUUCAAGACUUAGUUCCACUUGCAGCGGCUGUUUGUUGCUUUUGUUGUUUGCAACUUUACGCGCAAUUAAUCUAAAAUAAAUUCGUUUAUAAUUUGACAACAGUAAGAGAAAAUAAAAAAUAAUAAAAAUAGAGAAGAGGGAAAAUAAACUUAGGCGAUAAUUUUCCAGCUUUAAAAUAAUCAA